GACCUCAAGAGCGGCUUUUGCUUCAUUGAAAGGCUUUCAGUUCGCUCUCCUCGCUCACCUUGAUGCUUUCUAGAUUUGGCAUAUGGGAGUAGGCUUGAGGGAGUUGCUGCAUAGCUUGUAAGAAGCCAUCGAAACAUCUCUUCAUCUAAUGGUUGAAGAAUUGUUACCGAUGAUUUUCUUGCAAGUUAUGCAGCUGCUGCCUUAAGCUUGUUACUUCACCCUGCAAGAACUUGUGUUUUCAACAGACAAAAAAACAUGGAAAUUGUUAGCUAGCACUUUGUGCCCCACUGAAUCAUUCAUUGUUUGACAUCUUUCGGCCAUCAUUCAGCUUUAAUGAAGCAUACCUGGAAGCUAUUGAGUAUCAUCAUUUGGUCUCAAGGAAAAUCCUAAUAAUGUUUUCAAGCUGCUUUGUUCCUAAAUCCAGAAGAUGAAGAAGACUAUGAUGUCAGACAAUAUGAUGAAGAAGAACAACAAGAUAAGGUUGUGCAGGUUUAUAAUGAUGAUUAAUCUUAGUAUAACUAAAUUAGUCUCUAGAUUUGUUUAUGGGAUGUAUAAACCAACUUGCACUUAUGUAUUGAACGUAGGUAUUCCCUUGAGAAUAUUCAUGCAAACUUGAGCGCUUAAAUUUUGUAUUUUGCUAAGUUUUUUUUUUUAUUGCUAUGAUAGUUCCAUUUGCCACAUUAGUUGAUUUUCUCUUCAACAGUUUAUUUGUAAUCUUUUUUAACCUUCGUGUAUGUUAAAUCUUAAGCAGCAAAUAUGAGGAUUAACUAUUAAUGUGUACUAGUAUAAUGUUUGUUCUAUUUUUAGACAACAUAGAGUUAUACCUGUUAGCAUGUCAAUCUCUAAUGGUUUGGCUUUAACUGAAUGUUUUAAGGCAUUUUGUGCUCUCUCAACCUUAAACCCUAGGAUUAAGCUCAAGUUCAUGUUAAGACAGUGCCUCAAACUCAACUCACUCUCAUACAACCCCAGUAUCAGGUAGGCUAAAUUCUGUCCUAGUUACAUAAAAGCAUAAAAUUAAGGUGAGUUUUAUGCAAAUCUUCAUCCUAAUAUCUUUUUUUUCUUUUCUGCUUUAUGGGCCGAGUUGUAAAAUACCUUAUUCUGCGGUGAACGAUUGAAAAUCGUUUUUUUAAUUGUGCGGAGGAUAAGAAAAUAAAACAUUUUGCACUUCAUAAUCUUAUCAAAUAAUAUACCUUUCCUCCCCUAAACACAUGACAUUUUCCUCCUUCAAAAGGGGUUAUUUACAUACAUACCACCCAAUUCCCAUCUAUUUAAAUAUCCAAUUCCAUAAAUUU
Molecule: RNA transcript, 1292 nt
Organism: Phalaenopsis equestris
Lineage: Eukaryota; Viridiplantae; Streptophyta; Magnoliopsida; Asparagales; Orchidaceae
Gene name: heavy metal-associated isoprenylated plant protein 21
Exons: 7
Source: RefSeq, a predicted model, not a curated record